GGGAGAUGUGAAAAGAAGAUACUACGUGACAUUGCAGACGGAGAUGCUAAUUUUUUUGGCUCCCCCCCUCUCCCCCACCGUUAGGUUUAGAACCAAGGAAAAUGAAGUCACGCGUCAGAGUCUACUGCCCUCCUGCGAUGGAAAGCGAGCGAGAGCGUUGAGACUCUGAGCAUUGUUGAUGCCACUCAAACACCGUCGAUCUGGGAGCUGUGGAGACGCCGCUGUCCGUGAGAUAAGUGUCUGGUUUGGUGAGGGCUCUGCUCACGCCCAACCUGAGUCCAGGUUGGGAAGCCCACUAAGUUGGGGCUGGGUUUGUAUGAAAAGGUUCCUGACUAACCGUGGUUACGAGGGGGAAAAGGUCCCUAUUUUCAGAGGUUGCUCAUUUCUCUGGUCAGGAAUGGUGUCUCCUCUGCAGCGGAAGGUUGGAUUCAGAAGGAUGACUCCAGGUGGCUAUGUCUCGGGUGCCAUGGAGAAGUAGGAGGGGACGAAAAUCAUGCACGGCUGUGACUGUCGAUGUUAUCUCCGUCUCUGUUUGUCGAGUGUCGCCGAGCUGCGCUUCCAGAGGAAUUUUCCAGGAGCCCUAUCUCGAGAAGAAACUGGGAGAAGUGGACAUGAGCAGACUGGACAUCCCUGUAAGCAGACAUGAACAUCCUUGUCAGCAGACAUGAACAGUCCUCAAUUUUCUGGCUCCCGCAUA
Molecule: non-coding RNA, 697 nt
Organism: Chrysemys picta bellii (western painted turtle)
Lineage: Eukaryota; Metazoa; Chordata; Testudines; Emydidae
Source: RefSeq, a predicted model, not a curated record